Molecule: transfer RNA, 73 nt
Filed under: Streptomyces mirabilis
Lineage: Bacteria; Bacillati; Actinomycetota; Actinomycetes; Kitasatosporales; Streptomycetaceae
Description: tRNA-Gly
Source: RNAcentral
UGGUCUCGUAGUGCAGGACCCGAUCGUCCUUGCCGUGGAUCAGCAGGGUCGGCGUUCGGACGCCGGAGAUCUU